Molecule: ribosomal RNA, 440 nt
Filed under: uncultured bacterium
Lineage: Bacteria
Description: bacterial SSU rRNA
Rfam family: Bacterial small subunit ribosomal RNA
Source: RNAcentral
CCUACGGGAGGCAGCAGUGGGGAAUAUUGGACAAUGGGCGCAAGCCUGAUCCAGCCACGCCGCGUGAGUGAUGAAGGCCUUCGGGUCGUAAAGCUCUGUGGGGAGGGACGAACCGCUGCUGGUGCAUAGCCAGCAGCAUGACGGUACCUCCUUAGCAAGCACCGGCUAACUUCGUGCCAGCAGCCGCGGUAAUACGAAGGGUGCAAACGUUGCUCGGAAUUAUUGGGCGUAAAGCGCACGUAGGCGGCUUUGCAAGUCGGAUGUGAAAUCCCUCGGCUCAACCAAGGAAGUGCAUCCGAAACUGCAGAGCUUGAGUACGAAAGAGGAUCGCGGAAUUCCCGGUGUAGAGGUGAAAUUCGUAGAUAUCGGGAGGAACACCAGUGGCGAAGGCGGCGAUCUGGGUCGAUACUGACGCUGAGGUGCGAAAGCGUGGGGAGCAA